This 187-nucleotide non-coding RNA is filed under the name chicken gut metagenome. The record is from RNAcentral.
UCGGUCUGUCUGACCGUCGGAAUGAAAAGGGAAUGCCGUGCGAUUCGGCAACAGUUCCCGCUGCUGUGAGUUCUGCCUCGCACAUCGUUGGGAGGCUAUUCUCGGAGAGAUACUCUGCAGGCCACUGACUUUUUCGGGUCGGGAAGGCCCUCUCCGGAGGAACGAGUCAGAAGACCUGCCGUUGUAA